GAUGAACGCUAGCUACAGGCUUAACACAUGCAAGUCGAGGGGCAGCAUGCUGGUAGCUUGCUACCAGUGAUGGCGACCGGCGCACGGGUGAGUAACGCGUAUCCAACCUUCCCAUGACCAGGGAAUAACCUUGCGAAAGUAAGACUAAUGCCCUAUGGUUUCCUCAGCGGACAUCCAAAGAGGAAUAAAGAUUCAUCGGUGAUGGAUGGGGAUGCGUCUGAUUAGGUUGUUGGCGGGGUAACGGCCCACCAAGCCAUCGAUCAGUAGGGGUUCUGAGAGGAAGGUCCCCCACAUUGGAACUGAGACACGGUCCAAACUCCUACGGGAGGCAGCAGUGAGGAAUAUUGGUCAAUGGGCGAGAGCCUGAACCAGCCAAGUAGCGUGCAGGAUGACGGCCCUAUGGG
This 404-nucleotide ribosomal RNA is filed under the name uncultured bacterium. Its description in RNAcentral is "bacterial SSU rRNA". It matches the Rfam family "Bacterial small subunit ribosomal RNA", at positions 28 to 422 of the family's 1533-position model. The record is from RNAcentral.